RNAcentral lists this ribosomal RNA (253 nucleotides) under uncultured bacterium. Its description in RNAcentral is "partial 16S ribosomal RNA". It matches the Rfam family "Archaeal small subunit ribosomal RNA", at positions 474 to 727 of the family's 1478-position model. The record is from RNAcentral.
UACCCGCAGCACAAGUGGUGGUCAUUAUUAUUGGGCCUAAAGCGUCCGUAGCUGGCUUGUUAGAUGCCUGGGUAAAUCGAUGCGCUCAGCGUAUAGAAUUCCGGGUAGACCGGCAAGCUCGAGACCGGGAGAGGUGUAGGCUACUCGAGGGGUAGGGGUAAAAUCCUGUAAUCCUUCGGGGAGGACCAGUGGCGAAGGCGCUACACUAGAACGGCUCUGACAGUGAGGGACGAAGCCCUGGGGCGCAAACCGG